AUUGAACGCUGGCGGCAUGCUUUACACAUGCCAGUCGAACGGCAGCGCGGGCUUCGGCCUGGCGGCGAGUGGCGAACGGGUGAGUAAUGCAUCGGAACGUGCCCAGUAGUGGGGGAUAGCCCGGCGAAAGCCGGAUUAAUACCGCAUACGACCUGAGGGUGAAAGCGGGGGACCGAAAGGCCUCGCGCUAUUGGAGCGGCCGAUGUCGGAUUAUCUAGUUGGUGGGGUAAAGGCUUACCAAGGCGACGAUCCGUAGCUGGUCUGAGAGGACGACCAGCCACACUGGGACUGAGACACGGCCCAGACUCCUACGGGAGGCAGCAGUGGGGAAUUUUGGACAAUGGGGGCAACCCUGAUCCAGCCAUGCCGCGUGCGGGAAGAAGGCCUUCGGGUUGUAAACCGCUUUUGUUCGGGAAGAAAUCCUCUGGGCUAAUACCCCGGGGGGAUGACGGUACCGGAAGAAUAAGCACCGGCUAACUACGUG
RNAcentral lists this ribosomal RNA (484 nucleotides) under uncultured bacterium. RNAcentral's name for it is "partial 16S ribosomal RNA". It matches the Rfam family "Bacterial small subunit ribosomal RNA", at positions 28 to 507 of the family's 1533-position model. The record is from RNAcentral.